UGCAGGUGUAGUUCAAUGGUAGAACACGCCUUGCCAAGGCGAGGGUCGCGGGUUCGAAUCCCGUCUCGCGC
RNAcentral lists this transfer RNA (71 nucleotides) under uncultured Clostridium sp. Its description in RNAcentral is "tRNA-Gly(gcc)". It matches the Rfam family "tRNA". From Rfam's summary of the family: Transfer RNA (tRNA) molecules are approximately 80 nucleotides in length. Their secondary structure includes four short double-helical elements and three loops (D, anti-codon, and T loops). The record is from RNAcentral. Lineage: Bacteria; Bacillati; Bacillota; Clostridia; Eubacteriales; Clostridiaceae.